Molecule: ribosomal RNA, 322 nt
Filed under: uncultured bacterium
Lineage: Bacteria
Description: bacterial SSU rRNA
Rfam family: Bacterial small subunit ribosomal RNA
Source: RNAcentral
GAUGAACGCUGGCGGCGUGCUUAACACAUGCAAGUCGAACGGGAACAUUUUAUUGAAGCUUCGGCAGAUUUAGCUUGUUUCUAGUGGCGGACGGGUGAGUAACGCGUGGGUAACCUGCCUCACACUGGGGGAUAACAGUCAGAAAUGACUGCUAAUACCGCAUAAGCGCACGGGACCGCAUGGUACGGUGUGAAAAACUCCGGUGGUGUGAGAUGGAUCCGCGUCUGGUUAGCCAGUUGGCGGGGUAACGGCCCACCAAAGCGACGAUCAGUAGCCGACCUGAGAGGGUGACCGGCCACAUUGGGACUGAGACACGGCCCAA